This 148-nucleotide non-coding RNA is filed under the name Gorilla gorilla gorilla (western lowland gorilla). The record is from Rfam by way of RNAcentral. Lineage: Eukaryota; Metazoa; Chordata; Mammalia; Primates; Hominidae.
GCCGGGCGUGGUGGUGCGUGCCUGUAAUCCCAGCUACUUGGGAGGCUGAGGCAGGAGAAUUGCUUGAACCUGGGAGGCGGAGGCUGCAGUGAGCCGAGAUUGUGCCACUGCACUCCAGCCUGGGCAACACAGCAAGACUCUGUCUCAA